RNAcentral lists this ribosomal RNA (497 nucleotides) under uncultured bacterium. RNAcentral describes it as "partial 16S ribosomal RNA". It matches the Rfam family "Bacterial small subunit ribosomal RNA", at positions 28 to 507 of the family's 1533-position model. The record is from RNAcentral.
GACGAACGCUGGCGGCGUGCCUAAUACAUGCAAGUCGAGCGAUGAAGAUUGGUGCUUGCACCAAUUUGAAGAGCAGCGAACGGGUGAGUAACGCGUGGGGAAUCUGCCUUUGAGCGGGGGACAACAUUUGGAAACGAAUGCUAAUACCGCAUAACAACUUUAAACAUAAGUUUUAAGUUUGAAAGAUGCAAUUGCAUCACUCAAAGAUGAUCCCGCGUUGUAUUAGCUAGUUGGUGAGGUAAAGGCUCACCAAGGCGAUGAUACAUAGCCGACCUGAGAGGGUGAUCGGCCACAUUGGGACUGAGACACGGCCCAAACUCCUACGGGAGGCAGCAGUAGGGAAUCUUCGGCAAUGGACGAAAGUCUGACCGAGCAACGCCGCGUGAGUGAAGAAGGUUUUCGGAUCGUAAAACUCUGUUGGUAGAGAAGAACGCUGGUGAGAGUGGAAAGCUCAUCAAGUGACGGUAACUACCCAGAAAGGGACGGCUAACUACGUG